GUUUGAUCAUGGCUCAGAACGAACGCUGGCGGCAGGCUUAACACAUGCAAGUCGAACGCCCGUAGCAAUACGGGAGUGGCAGACGGGUGAGUAACGCGUGGGAAUCUUCCCAAAGGUACGGAACAACUCAGGGAAACUUGAGCUAAUACCGUAUGUGCCCGAGAGGGCAAAGAUUUAUCGCCUUUGGAUGAGCCCGCGUUGGAUUAGCUAGUUGGUGGGGUAACGGCCUACCAAGGCGACGAUCCAUAGCUGAUCUGAGAGGAUGAUCAGCCACACUGGGACUGAGACACGGCCCAGACUCCUACGGAGGCAGCAGUGGGGAAUCUUGGACCAUGGGCGAAAGCCUGAUCCAGCCAUGCCGCGUGAGUGAAGAAGCCUUAGGGUUGUAAAGCUCUUUUGCCCGG
This 404-nucleotide ribosomal RNA is filed under the name uncultured bacterium. RNAcentral describes it as "bacterial SSU rRNA". It matches the Rfam family "Bacterial small subunit ribosomal RNA", at positions 11 to 443 of the family's 1533-position model. The record is from RNAcentral.